Molecule: long non-coding RNA, 1673 nt
Organism: Dermochelys coriacea (leatherback sea turtle)
Lineage: Eukaryota; Metazoa; Chordata; Testudines; Dermochelyidae
Exons: 3
Source: RefSeq, a predicted model, not a curated record
UUCCCAUCACCAUCCUUGUUAUGGGCAGAGAGGCCCUACACCAGCAGAGAAGGGGUUAAGGAGAUCCUAUGGCCCCAGUUAGCCCUGUCUCUGCUAUAUGUGAAGCCAGUGCCAAGCGUGGAGGGGGAAUAAAAAGAGAGAGCCUGACUCAGUUGCAGACUGACUGGUCAGGAAGGAGGAUAGAGCUCUGCCUCUGUGCUGCUAACUAGAGCAGCUACUGGGCAGGAGCAGUCAGAUGCCAGGAGCAAGCGAUGCAUGAGAAAGAGAAGGAUGGGGCACCCCACUGGAAGGCUGGGGGAUGGUCCAUCAUUGAGUUGGAUUUGCUUUUAUUUUGGAACUUUUGGGGGCUCAACUCUCCCCCCCCACCAAGGAAAGUAAGACUGGAGGGACAAUUAGCUGGUGGGCCAGAGCUCUGCUACAGUGGGCCCUGGAGGUGCAGACUUCUUUCCUGGGAGACCUGCAGCCACACUGGGGCAAUAGAAGGCCCACAAGAGGACUCUGUUCCUGCCACGGCACUACACUCCUCCUUCUCAGCUGCAGUUUGAGCCUCAAGUUUUUCUACCAGGCCAGUAACAUUAUCCUCUGAUGAGGAGGCAUAGAAGCUCUUUCAGACUCUUUCUCCAGCUGAAAUGACUUGAGGAUACUAAGGUGAAUUUGUUUCAUGUUGCUGAAUCUGCAUUUAUCUGCCGAAAAAAUUAAUCAAAAAAAAUUCCUUCAGUUCUACACAUGAACGCCUUAACAGACCCAGCUUCCGGGCUCUGUAAAGGGGAAAUCUCAGCUUCUGUUGAGAAAGCACCCACGAAUGCUUCUCAGCAGAGAGGACAAUGGCUGAAUGGGCAUGAAGAUGGAACCUACCAUCCAGGAUGAAGCACUUUGAUGGGACCGCACCAGGGUAGCUUAUCCUGCUACUGCCUUGUGACAGUCUGCGCCUCAAAGUAGCACCCUGGAACCCUCAUAAUCACCAUGGUGAAAUUAUGAUAAAUUUUGUAUGGAAUAUGCCUUGUGAGGUAUUAUCUGAAAUGUCUCGAUCUGUUGAACAUUUAUGUCCUGUCGGAUUGUAUGUGCUGUCGUCAUAGGUGAAGAUAUGAAGCAUUGCUCUAUGUGUUACUGAAAUACAUUGUGAGUUUGGGAGAUGCCCACAACCAACGUUUCAAUUGCAACAAAGAACCAGCCAGAUGUGUGUGCUGCUGGGCCAUUAAAGGAAUCCACGCUCCCAACUCUGGCCAUCCCAGAGACUUCUCAGAGAGGGCAUGUAGGCAAUGGAGACUGAUUGACCAAUGGGGACUACCUGAUCCCCAGGUCACAGCAAAGAUCUUCCCAGAAAGCUGGAAGAAAAUAUAAAAGAGGGGAAGUGACAUCAUCACUUGGUCUCUCUCCUGCCCCAACUCAACACCUGGAGGAACAUCGGCAGGAUAAAUACUUUGAACUGUGGAAGGGUGGUCCCAGGCUGGAAAAGGGAGUCCAGUCUGUGUAUGGAGGAUCUGUAACCUGUUUGUACCAUCUGUCAGGGUGAGACCCUGCUUGAAUCCAAUCUGGUUUAGUCUGUAGAACUUAGACUGCACAUUACUUUUUAUUUCUUAAGUACCCAACGCUAAUCUCUAUGCCUGCUAUUUAUAAUCACUUAAAUCUAUCUUUCUGUAGUUAAUAAACCUGUUUUUAUGUUUUCCCUAAAA